Vicia villosa (hairy vetch) is the source of this 2109-nucleotide RNA transcript. It is a transcript of the gene named protein TPX2-like, with no coding region annotated. Lineage: Eukaryota; Viridiplantae; Streptophyta; Magnoliopsida; Fabales; Fabaceae. The record is from RefSeq and is a predicted model, not a curated record. The transcript has 16 exons.
UACUCAGUAGUCAAUAAACACUGAGAGCAGUCAGCAGUCACUAUCAAUCAAAGUAGUCUUCAUUCAAUUCAUUACUCGGGUCAUAUUCGGGUCACAACGACCCGCUUUAUAACUCACCUUACCCACUCACUGACACAGUAUUUAGAAUCACCAUCAUAGAUUGAAAAACGAAAACAGUUUACGAGUUACGACCAUGACGGUGACGGUGGCCAUGACGAUGGAAGAAGACGAAGACGCCGAAAUAGAGCACGUUUACGUUGCUCAUGAAAUUGAUCUCGAUUACGAAUUCGACGCAGCUCGUUUCUUCGAUUUCAAUCGACCGGAAACUCCCGUUGAAGCUCAUCAAGCUGAACUUUGGUUUCAGAAUGCCCCAAACUACCCUCCUUCUCCUUUUGUGGCGAAGUUAGCGGUGAGAGAGGAAUUUGAUUUAGUUGAUGUUAACGACUCAACGAAAUCGAGGAAUGUUGAUUGUAUGAGUACUGUGGAUGAUGAUGAUAAAGGACUCGGUCCUACUGUUCCUUCUCAGAUUGAAAUUUCCGACAUUGUUAAUGGACAUACCUCUGGCAACAAAGCAACCGGUAACAGUUUGAUUUCUAAUUUUAAACCUGCUGUGCUGAAGGGUUCAACAUUAAUGAAACCUACAGCUACUCAAUUGGCUAGGAAAAAUCGUCCAGCUAAAAAUGUUGCUUCAAGAUUUCGGAAGCCACUAACUCAGAAUGAAAUGAAUUUAUCUAGCUCCUCUGGAGUAGAAAAUCAAUCUGCCAAGCGGCAAAAAUUAGAGGGUGGUCAUUUGUGCAAGGUUUCUGAUGUGAAGCAGCAAACUGAUUUUGUGCACAAGACACCUAUGAGGGCUGUCACUGUUGAACAAAACUCUGCUUGUUCCAAGCUGAAACUUACUAUUCCCAGAGAGCCUGACUUAAAAACAGCACACAGAGCACAAAGGAUAAGACCCAAAGUUGAAGAGGCAGAGCAGACGGCCAUGGCUGCCCCCAGGUUCAAAGCGCGUCCAUUAAAUAGAAGGAUUCUCGAUGCUCCUUCGUUGCCGCUUCUUAAAAGGAGCACUCCGCGCUUGCCAGAAUUUCAAGAGUUUCACUUGAAGACUUUGGAGAGAGCCAUGCAACACACAUCUGCUACCUCAUCUUCACUUCACUGCAAUGAUUCUGAAAAGGGUUGGGACAAGCAUACUUCUGUUUCUGCUCUUGAACAUAGAAUCAAGGAUGCCAGAAGGCCUACUGCCAUGGGUGCCCCAAAGCAUGAUGGAUUGGGUUUUACUCAUAUUUUUAAAGCUCAGCCUCUUCAUAAGAAGAUACUAUCUAAUAAAGAGCAUGCUAGUGUUGUACAGACCAACAAGGAGGAAAUAACAGUGCCAAUGGAAUUUGAUUUACACACUGAAAAGGGGAUUCAGCAGAACCCUCCCAUUGAACUAUUUAGCAAGUUGUCUCUGACCUCGGAAGGCCAACCUAAUAACGGAUCUCAUUUCCAGCUGCCUCAACAAUCCAGGAUGUGCAGAAAGGUUUAACCUCUAUAAUUUUGAACUACAUGAGAAGGCUUUUACUUUCGGGGCAAAGAAAAUUCAUCAUGGGAAUGGUGGUUGCCAUAGUCUGUUAAGUGCACGGAGGAGCUUGGGAAUUCGGUGAUAGUAAGGAGUAAAUGUGCAGCCAGCUUUUUUAUGGGCAUCUGACUUCAAGUUUUGCUGCUGAUGUAUGUGAAGAUUGACGGUACAUAGUUGAAUCUGACAGACAGCCAACUCUUUUCUGAUGAGAGAUGGUUCUUACUGUAAAAAGAAUCUUAGAAAGUUUUAGAAAUUAACAUGUCCAGGUGCAUAGCUUGUGUUUACUAAUUAUGAUCAUAGAUUCAUAAUCAUUAAUUGAAAAAGUAAAUCAUUACAGGCAAGAGUUGCAUUGUCCUUGAGCUUAUAUUUGGUUUUUUCGAGUUAUUUACUUACCCCUGCUUGGCUUAACCAUAUAUUUUAGAAUUUUCACAUCAAAGUAUAAAUCAUGAUAUUAUUAUUUUAGUGAUUGAAUUGAUUAGCGCGGGAAGGAUCAUUAGGCAUUACGAGCAGUCGUGACUGUUUGCUUCUAAACUCUUGAAUAGUAGCAUGUUAGUGUA